ACUUGCCUUUGCGGGGGGGAUAACUAUUGGAAACGAUAGCUAAUACCGCAUAAUGUUUUCGAACCAAAGUGGGCUUAGGCUCACGCGCAAAGAGAGGCCCAAGUGAGAUUAGCUAGUUGGUAGGGUAAAGGCUUACCAAGGCGACGAUCUCUAGCUGUUCUGAGAGGAAGAUCAGCCACACUGGGACUGAGACACGGCCCAGACUCCUACGGGAGGCAGCAGUGGGGAAUAUUGCACAAUGGGGGGAACCCUGAUGCAGCCAUGCCGCGUGUGUGAAGAAGGCCUUCGGGUUGUAAAGCACUUUCAGUGGUGAGGAAAAGUUAGUAGUUAAUACCUGCUAUCCGUGACGUUAACCACAGAAGAAGCACCGGCUAACUCCGUGCCAGCAGCCGCGGUAAUACGGAGGGUGCGAGCGUUAAUCGGAAUUACUGGGCGUAAAGCGCACGCAGGCGGUUUGUUAAGCUAGAUGUGAAAGCCCCGCGCUUAACGUGGGAUGGUCAUUUAGAACUGGCAGACCAGAGUCUUGGAGAGGGGAGUGGAAUUUCUGGUGUAGCGGUGAAAUGCGUAGGGAUCAGAAGGAACAUCAAUGGCGAAGGCAGCUCUCUGGCCAAAGACUGACGCUCAUGUGCGAAAGUGUGUGUAGCGAACAGGAUUAGAUACCCUGGUAGUCCACACCGCAAACGCUGUCUACUAGCUGUAUGUGUAUUUAAUACGUGUGUAGCGAAGCUAACGCGCUAAGUAGACCGCCUGGGGAGUACGGUCGCAAGAUUAAAACUCAAAUGAAUUGACGGGGGCCCGCACAAGCGGUGGAGCAUGUGGUUUAAUUCGAUGCAACGCGAAGAACCUUACCUACACUUGACAUUCAGCGAACUUAGCAGAGAUGCUUUGGUGCCUUCGGGAACGCUGGGACAGGUGC
This 916-nucleotide ribosomal RNA is filed under the name uncultured bacterium. RNAcentral describes it as "bacterial SSU rRNA". It matches the Rfam family "Bacterial small subunit ribosomal RNA", at positions 124 to 1041 of the family's 1533-position model. The record is from RNAcentral.